AUCCUAAAACCCUCAACGUCUGGAUAAGAAUAAGGAAUCGUCUUCUAGAAGUUGUGCAAGUAAGAUUGCCACUCUCAAUCGAGCUUCAUCCUUUUAUACUUCCAAAAAGACUUUAUUUAAUAUAUUUUCUCAAAUGAUUAUGGAUUAUGGCUCUCUCGCUCUUUUGGCGGCGUGCAUUAUUGCACUCGUCAUUGGUAUCCUCUCAGUCUUCCUGAUCGCCUUUUUUUGCAAUAUGGAAGCAGAAGACGUUCCUAUAGAGCCUCAUGAAUCAGAGGGACUCACGAGAAACAUGUCUCCUGUACCAUGCUCAUCCACAAGUGAUUCAACAUUUCUCAUGUGUACAGCGGUGUGAAGGUGUAUUGCCAAUAUAUACCAUUCUUUGUUCAAUGUAACAGGCUCAAAGUGAUGUUUUUCUCGUAGCAACAGCAUCGGCUGCCGGGAUAUUCAUUUCUGUAUGUAUUCAACGUCUCCAACCAAAUAAAUAUCACCACAAAAAAUGCAUUUAUAUCAAGCAAAUUCUCACAGUUUAAUAUCAUUUUUGCAUGUUUCUGAACUACUCCCUGAUUUGGUGUUAGCACCAGAAUGAAUGCAUUUACGUCAUUAUAUAGCCAGUCAUCCAAUCAGAAUGCGUGAUGUAUAAAAUUUCCUGAAUGGAUAAAAAAAAAAGAGAGCUUAAGGUUGUGAUGACAGUAAUUUUCUUCCUCAUUGCUGCAGUUGUUUGGUUUUCCAAAAUUCUAUGUAUGCUUUUAUGCAUUCCUAUGUAUGCUUUUUUUCUUUCCUUAUUUGACUAUACUCCUUUAA
Molecule: long non-coding RNA, 801 nt
Organism: Parasteatoda tepidariorum (common house spider)
Lineage: Eukaryota; Metazoa; Arthropoda; Arachnida; Araneae; Theridiidae
Source: RefSeq, a predicted model, not a curated record